This is a non-coding RNA of Mycena latifolia, 91 nucleotides long. The record is from the annotation of a GenBank genome assembly. NCBI's taxonomy places the organism in Eukaryota, Fungi, Basidiomycota, Agaricomycetes, Agaricales, Mycenaceae.
GGCUUGGUGGUGUAAUGGGAAGAUGCCUACUUCAUAUAAGUACCAGCGACAGUUUGGCAGGGGAUCCCUUGUUCGACUCAAGGCUGAGUCA